Long non-coding RNA from Bactrocera oleae (olive fruit fly), 1282 nucleotides. RefSeq lists it as uncharacterized. The record is from RefSeq and is a predicted model, not a curated record. Lineage: Eukaryota; Metazoa; Arthropoda; Insecta; Diptera; Tephritidae.
GACGCACCAUAUGGAACCGGUAAGACAUUUUUAAUAUCACAACAGAAAAUCGCAUUGAUAGUUACAUCACCAAGGCAUUGCAGCUACUUUGCUAGAUGUGAGCGGGAUUGGAUUUUUCCCGUAGAAACGAGUCAGCUGAUUGCUCUCUUGUAACGCAGGGUUACCAGUCUCGAUCAUUUGUAGUAAUUAAAAAGUAAACUUGAAUGUAUUUGAAAUAUUCUUAAACUAAAUCAAAUUCACAGUGGAAUAAAAUUAUUUAUAAAUAGGUAGACUAUUUUUAAUAGUUGGUUUACAUUAUGCAAAAGUUUAACUGAAAAGCUAGAUGUGUGCAAAAUCGUGUAUACAAAUUAAACAAUGGCAACAUUGGUCAAAUGAAAACAAAACAGAACAACUAAUUUUUUCGUUGCCACUACGGGCAUAACUUUUGACAAAUUUCGUUUGAUACGGACGGGAUCAUUUUGUGGAUGACGAUAUUAUGAACCUCAAACAAUUUAAUGGACUUAAGCUCCCGCGCUUUAGCUACAAUUCAGGUGCCUGCUAUGGCAACGGUACGCGAAAAGCGCCUUCAACAAAGGGAUCGGUAGCAAACAAUUAAUACUUCUUACGAGAGUAUCAAAUAACCUUGAGCUGAUGAAACAAAAGAAGAGUGAUACUACUUUGUUUGAACAUAAUGCAAAAAAUAAAGAACUAGUAUUUUUAGGGUCUGAAGCAGACUAUAAUCUCCAGUGGUUCCAGCUCUGUUGAUGAACAGAAGAAAGAGAAUGUGCCCGUCAAAUCAAACGAUGGCAUGAGGGGAAUAGUCGUCUGCGCAAAAAGAAUGGGAAACUUUUGAAGAAAAUACAAAUUUUGAAGGACAAAAAUAAUCAAAAAGACAGCAAAUAUAUUUAUCAUCUUUAUAUAUUGCAAAAUCAGUCAAAGGAAAAGUCCCAAGAGUGUGAAAACAUUGACGAAAAAGUAAAAGUUAUUUUCACCAGUGGACAAAUUAAUAAAAUUAAGAUGAAAUAAAUUAAGACGAGAGAAAGCAUCAAGAAUCGAUUGCAGCAACAAAGUAAAAAAGUUGUUCUUCCGGGCUAGAAUGUUUUUUUUUUUAAUAAGGAUGUUAAACAAAGAAUUAGAAGUAUCCAUCCACAAAAGGAAAAGUAAAUUUAAUAUUGUCAAAUAGUUUGAGUUUUAUAGAAUUAAUUAAUUUAUUUUUAUAGUUAUAUAAAAACUAUUACUAAUGUAAGAAUUAAUUCUUAUUCUAUAUAUUUACGAACAAUAAAAGAAAGCAGAAACAUCGUAA